GUGAGGAAUAUUGCGCAAUGGAGGCAACUCUGACGCAGCCAUGCCGCGUGCAGGAAGAAGGCGCUACGCGUUGUAAACUGCUUUUAACCGGGAAGAAACCCCAGGACGUGUCCUGGGUUGACGGUACCGGAGGAAUAAGCACCGGCUAACUUCGUGCCAGCAGCCGCGGUAAUACGAAGGGUGCAAGCGUUAUCCGGAUUCAUUGGGUUUAAAGGGUGCGUAGGCGGAGCGUUAAGUCAGUGGUGAAAUCCUGCAGCUUAACUGUAGACUUGCAAUUGAUACUGGCGCUCUUGAGUGCGCUUGAAGUGGGCGGAAUGUGCCGUGUAGCGGUGAAAUGCUUAGAUAUGGCACAGAACACCAAUUGCGAAGGCAGCUCACUAAGGCGAUACUGACGCUGAGGCACGAAAGCGUGGGGAUCGAACAGGAUUAGAUACCCGAGUAGUCC
This 445-nucleotide ribosomal RNA is filed under the name uncultured bacterium. Its description in RNAcentral is "partial 16S ribosomal RNA". It matches the Rfam family "Bacterial small subunit ribosomal RNA", at positions 354 to 796 of the family's 1533-position model. The record is from RNAcentral.